UGCGCCUUGCCACGCCGCUCAGAACUUAAAGGAAUUGACGGGGAGCACUACGACGGGUGGAGCCUGCGGUUUAAUUGGAUCAACGCCGGAAAUCUCACCGGGGCGACAGCAAUAUGAAGGUCAGGCUGAAGACUUACCCGAUUAGCUGAGAGGUGGUGCAUGGCCGUCGCCAGUUCGUACUGUGAAGCAUCCUGUUAAGUCAGGCAACGAGCGAGACCCACGUCCACAGUUGCCAGCAUACCCUCCGGGGUGAUGGGUACACUGUGGAGACCGCCGCUGCUAAAGCGGAGGAAGGAGUGGGCAACGGUAGGUCAGUAUGCCCCGAAUCUCCCGGGCUACACGCGGGCUACAAUGGUUGGUACAAUGGGCAUCUACCCCGAAAGGGGAAGGAAAUCUCCUAAAGCCAAUCGUAGUUCGGAUUGAGGGCUGCAACUCGCCCUCAUGAAGCUGGAAUCCGUAGUAAUCGCGUUUCAACAGAACGCGGUGAAUACGUCCCUGCUCCUU
This 504-nucleotide ribosomal RNA is filed under the name uncultured Methanosaeta sp. RNAcentral's name for it is "bacterial SSU rRNA". It matches the Rfam family "Archaeal small subunit ribosomal RNA", at positions 858 to 1338 of the family's 1478-position model. The record is from RNAcentral. Lineage: Archaea; Methanobacteriati; Methanobacteriota; Methanomicrobia; Methanotrichales; Methanotrichaceae.